UGCCAACCUGUGCUAGUUGCACUACUUGGU
RNAcentral lists this non-coding RNA (30 nucleotides) under Mus musculus (house mouse). The record is from RNAcentral. Lineage: Eukaryota; Metazoa; Chordata; Mammalia; Rodentia; Muridae.